CUCAUUUUCCAUUGAGCUAACUGACUGGGGCAGGCUGGCAGUCCAGUGACCCCCAAGGAUCUUCUUGUACCCACCUCCCCUGAGUUGGGAUUACCAGCACAUGCCACCACUGCCCAGGAUCAAAACUAGAAGCACAUCUGCUUUCCAUGACCAAGCAGUGCCCCAGGCAUCUGCCACAUUAGCCUGUGGCUUCCGGACAGAUUCUCCUAGAGCUAAGCAAAUGCCUAGGACAGAUACAGAGAAACUUCAGAGGCUUAAUUAACUUUGUAAUGCUGGAUACAUGCAUGCAGAUGGGUGGAGCAUCAUCACUCCCAGCCAGACCACAAAUGCAGUGCGUUUUGGAAAGAAUGGACAUCAGGCUGCGCCCCUGUGGUUCCCAGCUGCUGUGAGGACUUCAGAGAGCAUGCAGACCUAGGCACAGGCUGUAUGCUCCAUGAAGCUGUCGCCCACUUGUGAUGUAUGUCACAGAAGUGUAAAGGGAAGCACUGGUUCCCACCGAGGGAGGCCACAAUGGGGGCGGGACUGUGGUGACCCGGAGGGAUCCAGCAUGUGUGACUGUUACACUCCACCUUCAGAGGCAGCCGGAGAACCAGCUAACCUGAACCCAUAAACACACUCCCAGCAUGGAGGCUUAGUCUCUGAGGAUGUGCCCACAUCCUCUUGCUAAAAAGUCCCUUGCAUCUUAUGCAGUUCAAGCAUUAGGUGUCAAGGUGUCCUUCCCCAGGAGGGGCUUCCAGAUUCGAGUUGUGACUUCAUUUGGUAAUAAAGAUUUUUUGGAAUAA
Apodemus sylvaticus (European woodmouse) is the source of this 782-nucleotide long non-coding RNA. RefSeq lists it as uncharacterized. The transcript is spliced from 4 exons. NCBI's taxonomy places the organism in Eukaryota, Metazoa, Chordata, Mammalia, Rodentia, Muridae. The record is from RefSeq and is a predicted model, not a curated record.